CCCUUAGAUGUUCUGGGCUGCACGCGCGCUACACUGAUGCAUCCAGCGAGUUGUACCCUUGCUUGGUAAAGUUUGGUAAUCUGAGGCUAAUGUGCAUCGUGAUGGGAAUAGAGUUUUGCAACUAUUAGUCUUGAACGAGGAAUGCCUAGUAAGCGCAAGUCAUCAGCUUGCGUUGAUUACGUCCCUGCCCUUUGUACACACCGCCCGUCGCACCUACCGAUUGAAUGGUCCGGUGAAGCCUCCGGAUUGGCGCGCACCUCGGUGCCGCCGAGAAGUUGGCUAAACCUUACCAUUUAGAGGAAGGUGAAGUCGUAACA
This 317-nucleotide ribosomal RNA is filed under the name uncultured eukaryote. RNAcentral's name for it is "partial 18S ribosomal RNA". It matches the Rfam family "Eukaryotic small subunit ribosomal RNA", at positions 1470 to 1796 of the family's 1831-position model. The record is from RNAcentral.